This 253-nucleotide ribosomal RNA is filed under the name uncultured bacterium. RNAcentral's name for it is "partial 16S ribosomal RNA". It matches the Rfam family "Bacterial small subunit ribosomal RNA", at positions 524 to 776 of the family's 1533-position model. The record is from RNAcentral.
UACGGGGGGGGCAAGCGUUGUUCGGAAUUACUGGGCGUAAAGCGUGCGCAGGCGGCUUCGCAAGUCAGACGUGAAAUCCCCGGGCUUAACCUGGGAAUGGCGUUUGAAACUACGGAGCUGGAGUAUGGCAGAGGGGGGUGGAAUUCCACGUGUAGCGGUGAAAUGCGUAGAUAUGUGGAGGAACACCGAUGGCGAAGGCAGCCCCCUGGGCCAAUACUGACGCUGAGGCGCGAAAGCUAGGGGAGCAAACAGG